RNA transcript from Triticum aestivum (bread wheat), 2111 nucleotides. RefSeq lists it as uncharacterized. The transcript is spliced from 2 exons. NCBI's taxonomy places the organism in Eukaryota, Viridiplantae, Streptophyta, Magnoliopsida, Poales, Poaceae. The record is from RefSeq and is a predicted model, not a curated record.
CAACAGCUCCACCCCAGAUUAGAUCGAUCUCGCUCGAUUCCUCUGGUCAGCGCCGCCGCUUCGCUCGAUUCCGCUCGCCAAGCGCCGCCGCUUCGCCAGACCUCCACCAAACCCACGCCGCCGCUUCACCAUCGCCUCCAGGCCAAGCCCCAGCUGCGCCUACGCCUCCACCUCCACCUUCCCCAUCCACUUCGGGCCGAGCUUGCCACCGCUCGUGACCGGCUCCUCCCCGACGUUCGCGCCGCUCCCCAUCGACGUUCGCCCCGCUCCCGCCGUUUCCUUCGACUUCGUUCCCUGCGCCUCCAUAGCGCUUCUUCGAAGGAAGCGGAUACAACCUCAUCGCCCCGACCAACUCUCACCGGCCUGCUUCGCGUCCACGGAAGGACUGCUCCGACAUCGACAACUGUUGUGUUCGGCCUCCACGACAGGAACUUGAGGUAACUGAAGAAGAAACCAAUUUCAAUGGCUUCCAAUGGGGUGUUCGCUGAAUUACUCCGUGCCUACAAACUUGAUGGAACGAAUUACACGGUUUGGAAAAGGAAAAUCAUGUUCUUGCUUACGGCUGAGAAUAUUGAUUAUGUUUCUGAAACUUCGGCGCCUAACGAGCCAGCAGAGGAUGCUACAGAUGAAGAAAAGCAGGAAUACAAUGAUGAACUGAAGCAAUGGACCAAGGACAACAAGACUGCCAGAGUUUAUAUCCUUGGCUCGAUGACUGAUUCGUUGGCUGCGGAAUAUGAGUCGGAUAGAACAGCUUGUGGAAUAAUGCUCAGGCUGGAACAAGAUUUUGGAGAAGUUUCCCUUGUGAAGGUGCUUAGUCUUGUGAACAAGUUUCUGACAUCGGAGAUGGGUGAUAAAACAGCCAAUGAACACUUCAACAAGCUCUGUGUCUUGGCAGAAGAAUUAAAAACUGCUGGUUAUCCGUUCCAGGAGGAAGUACAAGUCAUGGUUGUUCUGAAUUCUUUGCCACCAUCAUGGGAACAGUUCAAGAUUUCUUUUUGUCAUUCAGAACGCACACUCAAUAUGAGAAACCUGAGGCAACACUUGCUAAUGGAGGAGGAUCGCAGGCUUAACUCAGGGAAAGAUAAAGCUUCUUAUCAGCCAGAGCUUCACCUUGGUGAGUACAAAAACAAUGGGAACCGAAGGAACUGGACUAAGAGAGGAGGAGGACCGGACCUAAGGGACAAGAUCAAUUAUAAACGUGACAGGGAUCAAAGGAACUACAGAGAUGAGAGAAGGAACAAGGUGCAACAUGGCAAUAACAACAACAACAACUCGUUUUCACAAGAUUGACAAGAGAAACUACAAGUGCCAUAAUUGUGUUAAUACAUGCCACUUCAGGUCAGAAUGCACCAAGAAGAGGAAGCCGAACAGCGAAAGAAAUAAUUUUCACAAGGAUGACAGCCGCAAGGGGAAUCAAUCCCCUGAAGAUAUCAAAUGAAUCCUGGACCUGAGCAUUGGAAACAGAUUUGGAACACUUUGCGUUAUGUCAAGGGAACUAUGGACUAUUUUUUGUGUUUUAAUGGACACAAUCUUCAGCUACAGGGGUUUACUGAUGCUGAUUGGCAAGGGGAUCUUGAUGACCGGAAAUCAACUUCUGGUUAUAUGUUUACACUAGCAGGAGGAGCUAUUUCCUGGAGUAGCAAGAAGCAAGAUUCUGUAGCACUUUCAUCUAUGGAGGCUGAAUAUAUUGCUGUGUCGGAAGCUGUGAAAGAAGGUGUAUGGUUAAAGGAGUUUCUUGCGUCUCUCGUGGUGGUGGAAAGCGCUUCAUAUCCUGUUACUAUUUUCUGUGAUAACCAGGCGGCAAUCAAGGUCUCAAAGGAUCCAAAGUUUCAUAGCAAAACCAAACAUAUUGAGGGAAGGUAUCACUACAUUCGUGAUGUCGUUAAUAGAUUAAAAAUAGUUCGUUUAGAUUAUUUACCUAGUGUGGACAUGGUUGCUGAUCCACUUACUAAACCUCUUAGUCAGGAAGUAUUUUGUAAACAUGUUUGCAACAUGGGUCUUCGUUUCUGGAAUUAGAAUGUUUUAGCCAAGUGGGAGAUGUAGGAAAUACUUAUGUGUGGCUUGCAACAUUUUAUCUAUACUACAUAGUUCCUGGAAUAUGUUUACCUCGA